GAUGAACGCUGGCGGCGUGCCUAAUACAUGCAAGUCGAGCGAACGGACGAGAAGCUUGCUUCUCUGAUGUUAGCGGCGGACGGGUGAGUAACACGUGGAUAACCUACCUAUAAGACUGGGAUAACUUCGGGAAACCGGCGCUAAUACCGGAUAAUAUUUUGAACCGCAUGGUUCAAAAGUGAAAGACGGUCUUGCUGUCACUUAUAGAUGGAUCCGCGCUGCAUUAGCUAGUUGGUAAGGUAACGGCUUACCAAGGCAACGAUGCAUAGCCGACCUGAGAGGGUGAUAGGCCACACUGGAACUGAGACACGGUCCAGACUCCUACGGGAGGCAGCAGUAGGGAAUCUUCCGCAAUGGGCGAAAGCCUGACGGAGCAACGCCGCGUGAGUGAUGAAGGUCCUCGGAUCGUAAAACUCUGUUAUUAGGGAAGAACAUAUGUGUAAGUAACUGUGCACAUCUUGACGGUACCUAAUCAGAAAGCCACGGCUAACUACGUG
RNAcentral lists this ribosomal RNA (497 nucleotides) under uncultured bacterium. RNAcentral describes it as "partial 16S ribosomal RNA". It matches the Rfam family "Bacterial small subunit ribosomal RNA", at positions 28 to 507 of the family's 1533-position model. The record is from RNAcentral.